RNAcentral lists this transfer RNA (76 nucleotides) under Hydrogenophilus thermoluteolus. RNAcentral's name for it is "tRNA-Ala". It matches the Rfam family "tRNA". Rfam says of the family: Transfer RNA (tRNA) molecules are approximately 80 nucleotides in length. Their secondary structure includes four short double-helical elements and three loops (D, anti-codon, and T loops). The record is from RNAcentral. RNAcentral also lists the same sequence under 5 other names. Lineage: Bacteria; Pseudomonadati; Pseudomonadota; Hydrogenophilia; Hydrogenophilales; Hydrogenophilaceae.
GGGCCGGUAGCUCAGUUGGUAGAGCGUCGCGUUCGCAAUGCGAAGGUCGUGGGUUCGACUCCCAUCCGGUCCACCA